This 465-nucleotide ribosomal RNA is filed under the name uncultured bacterium. Its description in RNAcentral is "partial 16S ribosomal RNA". It matches the Rfam family "Bacterial small subunit ribosomal RNA", at positions 28 to 507 of the family's 1533-position model. The record is from RNAcentral.
GAUGAACGCUGGCGGCGUGCUUAACACAUGCAAGUCGAACGGAAAGGCUCCUGCUUGCAGGGGUACUCGAGUGGCGAACGGGUGAGUAACACGUGGGUGAUCUGCCCUGCACUUCGGGAUAAGCCUGGGAAACUGGGUCUAAUACCGGAUAGGACGAUGGUUUGGAUGCCAUUGUGGAAAGUUUUUCGGUGUGGGAUGAGCUCGCGGCCUAUCAGCUUGUUGGUGGGGUAAUGGCCUACCAAGGCGUCGACGGGUAGCCGGCCUGAGAGGGUGUCGGCCACAUUGGGACUGAGAUACGGCCCAGACUCCUACGGGAGGCAGCAGUGGGGAAUAUUGCACAAUGGGCGCAAGCCUGAUGCAGCGACGCCGCGUGGGGGAUGACGGCCUUCGGGUUGUAAACUCCUUUCGCUAGGGACGAAGCGUUUUGUGACGGUACCUGGAGAAGAAGCACCGGCUAACUACGUG